This is a long non-coding RNA of Odontomachus brunneus, 654 nucleotides long. RefSeq lists it as uncharacterized. NCBI's taxonomy places the organism in Eukaryota, Metazoa, Arthropoda, Insecta, Hymenoptera, Formicidae. The record is from RefSeq and is a predicted model, not a curated record. The transcript has 4 exons.
ACAUACGAUGGCAGCACCUGUCUGAGCAAUGGCGUUGGGGCAUGAGUCACUGAUACGCCUCUAGCCAAAUAUUGAAGGAAGGAAGGAAGUAAGCGUAUCUUUUAGUGUCGUUUGAACUAAAAGGUGUGAUAAAGUGGAUAUUGUCACAUAUAAAAAGUUUUGCAAAGCAAUAAUAAGAAAUGGAUAAGGAUGAAAUCAGGAUCCUAUUGAUAUUGAAGAAGAGAUGAUAACUACUAAUACAAGUGAAGGCAUUGCUACCACUUUAGCAGAAAGAAAGUACUUUAUAAUAUAAUAAAUUCAAAUAAGGGACAAAGCAGUAUAGGAUGCAAUGAUUGCUAUGAAGAGAUUAGAAAUAUGUUCUUAAUAAACAUUUCAGUCGAAACAUUUAAGUAAACAUUUAAGUAAAAAAUACAUAACUCAUUACUUGCUUAGCAGCAUAAUUUUGUUUUGAAAAUUAUACAAAAUAUAUUUUUACUAUGUUAUAAAUACAGAAGAAGAAAUGGAAAAUAGAUUGAUAGUAACAAACAAAGGAAAGUUAAAUGGAAAAGACCUUUCGAGAUCAGAAGAGGAGAUGGAGAUGACAACAAGUGAAUAUGACGAAAAAAAUACUUCGGAGAAAAUAAGAAAUAAGAGAAAGGAGAAAGGUAAAAUAUU